UUGAACGCUGGCGGCAUGCUUUACACAUGCAAGUCGAACGGCAGCACGGGUGCUUGCCCUGGUGGCGAGUGGCGGACGGGUGAGUAAUGCAUCGGAACGUAUCCUUAAGUGGGGGAUAACGCAUCGAAAGAUGUGCUAAUACCGCAUAAUCUCUAUGGAGAAAAGCAGGGGCUCGUAAGACCUUGUGCUUUUGGAGCGGCCGAUGCCUGAUUAGCUAGUUGGUAGGGUAAAGGCCUACCAAGGCUUCGAUCAGUAGUUGGUCUGAGAGGACGACCAGCCACACUGGGACUGAGACACGGCCCAGACUCCUACGGGAGGCAGCAGUGGGGAAUUUUGGACAAUGGGGGCAACCCUGAUCCAGCCAUGCCGCGUGAGUGAAGAAGGCCUUCGGGUUGUAAAGCUCUUUCAGUCGGGAAGAAAAGGUUGAGACCAAUAAUCUCAACUCAUGACGGUACCGACAGAAGAAGCACCGGCUAACUACGUGC
RNAcentral lists this ribosomal RNA (485 nucleotides) under uncultured Nitrosomonadaceae bacterium. RNAcentral's name for it is "bacterial SSU rRNA". It matches the Rfam family "Bacterial small subunit ribosomal RNA", at positions 30 to 508 of the family's 1533-position model. The record is from RNAcentral. Lineage: Bacteria; Pseudomonadati; Pseudomonadota; Betaproteobacteria; Nitrosomonadales; Nitrosomonadaceae.